Molecule: ribosomal RNA, 269 nt
Filed under: uncultured prokaryote
Description: partial 16S ribosomal RNA
Rfam family: Bacterial small subunit ribosomal RNA
Source: RNAcentral
UACGGAGGAUCCGAGCGUUAUCCGGAUUUAUUGGGUUUAAAGGGUGCGCAGGCGGGAGAUUAAGUCGGCGGUGAAAUUUUGCAGCUCAACUGUAAAAGUGCCUUCGAAACUGGUUUCCUUGAGUGUAGAUGAAGUAGGCGGAAUUUGUGGUGUAGCGGUGAAAUGCUUAGAUAUUACACAGAACACCAAUUGCGUAGGCAGCUUACUGAGCCGACACUGACGCUGAGGCACGAAAGCGUGGGGAUCAAACAGGAUUAGAUACCCUCGUA